GACGAACGCUGGCGGCGUGCUUAACACAUGCAAGUCGAACGGUGAAGCGCCUUCCUUUUUGGUGGGUGUGGAUGAGUGGCGAACGGGUGAGUAACACGUGAGUAACCUGCCCCCUUCUUCUGGAUAACCGCAUGAAAGUGUGGCUAAUACGGGAUAUUCUGGGUCUGUCGCAUGAUGGGUCUGGGAAAGAUAUUGUUUCGGUGGGGGAUGGGCUCGCGGCCUAUCAGCUUGUUGGUGGGGUGAUGGCCUACCAAGGCGGUGACGGGUAGCCGGCCUGAGAGGGUGGACGGUCACACUGGGACUGAGACACGGCCCAGACUCCUACGGGAGGCAGCAGUGGGGAAUAUUGCACAAUGGACGCAAGCCUGAUGCAGCGACGCCGCGUGAGGGAUGGAGGCCUUCGGGUUGUGAACCUCUUUCGCCAGUGAAGCAGGCCUGCCUCGUUUGUGGGUGGGUUGACGGUAGCUGGAUAAGAAGCGCCGGCUAACUACGUG
This 494-nucleotide ribosomal RNA is filed under the name uncultured bacterium. RNAcentral's name for it is "partial 16S ribosomal RNA". It matches the Rfam family "Bacterial small subunit ribosomal RNA", at positions 28 to 507 of the family's 1533-position model. The record is from RNAcentral.